GAAACCGCCCAGAGGUAAACGGGUGGAUCCGCAAAGUCGGCCCGUGGAAUUCAGCGCGUGCGGAGGGUCCGGGAAUCGGGCCGGGGAUCUUCGGACCCCGCCCAGCUCUCGACUGGGCCCGACGCCGCGUGCACUUUCAGCGGGCAGAGCGCCACGACCGGUUUCGCGGCGGCGACAAGCCCGUUCGGAUGCGUGGCACGAUCUCGCGGUCGUGCUACGGCCGCUCGCGGUGAGCCGCUGUCGGGACCGAGGGACGUCCGCGCGCUUCGAGGCUGCCCGGCCUCGCUGGGGAGUUCGACUGGCAGGGACUGGGCAACCGUGCCUGCCGACCGCUCCCCGGUGUCGGUUCGGGACAGCCGGGCGCGUCUUGGGGUCGGUGGCGAGUCUGUCGGCAUUCCACCCGACC
RNAcentral lists this ribosomal RNA (406 nucleotides) under Ampullaceana lagotis. RNAcentral describes it as "partial 28S ribosomal RNA". Lineage: Eukaryota; Metazoa; Mollusca; Gastropoda; Lymnaeidae. The record is from RNAcentral.